GGCGGGACACGUGGUAUCCUGUCUGAAUAUGGGGGGACCAUCCUCCAAGGCUAAAUACUCCUGACUGACCGAUAGUGAACCAGUACCGUGAGGGAAAGGCGAAAAGAACCCCGGCGAGGGGAGUGAAAAAGAACCUGAAACCGUGUACGUACAAGCAGUGGGAGCACCCUUUGGGGUGUGACUGCGUACCUUUUGUAUAAUGGGUCAGCGACUUAUAUUCUGUAGCAAGGUUAACCGAAUAGGGGAGCCGGAGGGAAACCGAGUCUUAAUUGGGCGUUAAGUUGCAGGGUAUAGACCCGAAACCCGGUGAUCUAGCCAUGGGCAGGUUGAAGGUUGGGUAACACUAACUGGAGGACCGAACCGACUAAUGUUGAAAAAUUAGCGGAUGACCUGUGGCUGGGGGUGAAAGGCCAAUCAAACCGGGAGAUAGCUGGUUCUCCCCGAAAGCUAUUUAGGUAGCGCCUCGUGAAUUCAUCUCCG
Molecule: ribosomal RNA, 480 nt
Filed under: Salmonella enterica
Lineage: Bacteria; Pseudomonadati; Pseudomonadota; Gammaproteobacteria; Enterobacterales; Enterobacteriaceae
Description: partial 23S ribosomal RNA
Rfam family: Bacterial large subunit ribosomal RNA
Source: RNAcentral